Molecule: small RNA, 1432 nt
Filed under: Histoplasma capsulatum var. duboisii H88
Lineage: Eukaryota; Fungi; Ascomycota; Eurotiomycetes; Onygenales; Ajellomycetaceae
Description: Histoplasma capsulatum H88 hypothetical RNA
Source: RNAcentral
CCUGCAAUGAGUCAUGAUUGAACAAGCCAUGUGUGGCGAUGCAGUACACCUUUUUGGCCCCGCCCCUCUUCACCACUGUCUCUGCAGCUGCGAUCCACGAACCCGGCUUAUCAAUCAUAUCAUCGACGAUAAACACUUUUUUGUUCCUCACAUCACCAACGAGUGUUACCGUCCUCUCACGGGUGAACAUUUCCUGCUUAUUAUCUUCUUCGUCGGAGGAAGCAGCAGCAUCAAAUGAGCCUCCUAGGGCAUGGUCAGGAUGGAAGGACGAUGAGUUGGAGAUGAAAGAUGAGGUCAUGGGAUCCCGUGAGGGCGUCAUCGUCAACAAUAUGGCCCUGCACCAAUCUACCUGUGAUCACCUCUCGCGCGCGCUCAUCGGUGUACUCGAACGCGGCCUCUUGCUCGGAAGGACGGCGCGCAGAAAAUGACGAUUCGAUUUGUUGCGAUGCAGUGGUCGAGGCGUGUGGUGGCGACGGUGGUGAUUCAGACUCCGCAGCAGACGCCGUUCGUGCCAAUGGACUAGGGGAGACAUUUCGUUGAGAAGGUCGAACGGGAACUCUGGUUGAGGGAGGUUGGGACCCGGGUGGUUCGGUCCGAGGAAUCGGAUCAACAGGGGCCUGUUCAUCCUGCGGCGAGGGAAAACCGCGAUCAACAGAAUCGAAAAAUAUGGCGCUUCCUGACAAUCCACUGUUCAUGUUUCCCCGGCUCCGAUCUGUGUUCACGAUACCAAAGUUUAGCUUCAGCGCAUCCGCCAAGGACGUCACCCUUUUGCUUCCGCCAGCAUUUUUUGUGACUACAACGGCUUCAUUCCAGCGAGGCACGUUCAUCCGGAUCCAGCGCGCAAUCAAGGGCUCAGCAAAUAGGUUAUCGACAGGUCUUCCGAAAAAACCUUGCAUUUGAGAUGCCUGCGGUGAAAGCUUAGUGCUCCAAAGAUUACAUGGAAGCGAAGGAUGACAUUGUGGUGCCUGAAGGUGAAUCAUCAUACAUGUAAAUCCACGGUAAUUAUAUGAUCUACGCCGGCGACAGUGAGCAAAUUGGCAAGCAUUCGAGCGGUUAUCGCGCCACGAUGGCUCUUCUUUUUUGAUUGACGAGAGUAGGGGAAAUAACUCUAGCAUGUUAGCAGUAUUGGCUACGGGUUGAGAGAAAGGAAGUAACCUACGGCAUCACCGCUAGAGAACGAAAAAGAAAACAAGUUAGAGGUUGGGCAUAUUUCAAACUAGAACUGAAUAUGGAAAGGAAUAAUAAUCUAUACAUACCGGUAAUUGAUUUAGCAGAGCCACCUUUACAAGCGGAUAUCAUGAUAAGCAGUUCCAUAACGCUAUCAUUGAUCUUGGAGCUUCCACUUUGCACAAUGAAAACAUCCUGGUUCCGCACAGAAACACCAAUAUUGACGCUUGUUUCUCCAUUACUGAAUUUGCGGAGUUCACAUUUG